This is a long non-coding RNA of Rana temporaria (common frog), 1129 nucleotides long. RefSeq lists it as uncharacterized. The transcript is spliced from 4 exons. NCBI's taxonomy places the organism in Eukaryota, Metazoa, Chordata, Amphibia, Anura, Ranidae. The record is from RefSeq and is a predicted model, not a curated record.
UUUUGCAGAACCCUCGUCAUCCUGUCGUUGCAGUGUUAUGAAAGCAAUUCUCCCAAGAUGCAGUUCCGUUAAGAGACGCUGGGAGCAGAGCUGAGAAUUUUCAGCUGCGUCACAGAACAGAUAGAGAAGAAACUGUCUGGCGACAGGUCUCUGAAAACCAGCUACUGCUGCUGCUACAGCAGGAAAGAGCUAUGGAAGUAUCGUAGGCUGGGCUUUCCUAUAACCAUUGCAUCUUUUCAAAAACCAAUACCUCAUCUUCAAAUUUCUAUGCUUUUAGCUGUGAUCAGCUGGAAAAUCAUGAAUUUGUUUAUCCGACAGGGUGAUGUUUAUCCGACAUGGCGAUGUGUUUGGAGUGGGGGCAUUGAACGUCAAUAUUCGGAAUUGGGAAUAGGGUUUAGAAAUGGGUUAACUACGAUUCUGGAAUCUUCCACCCAUACAUGGAGGUCACACGAUUACCCAAACCUACGCAGCAGCGAUUGGGGGUAAGCGAUAUAUUUAGAGAGUCUGGCUGCUUUUAGAGACGUGUUACUAGAACCUCGGAGGUAUUGAAAACUGCGUCACUUCUACUGUGACGACGCAGAUGUUAUAAGGGUAAAUCCUUUCCCUAAAAACUUAACUUCACUUUUUUCUAUGGAACAUACUGGUGAACUACGUUGUUUUUUUUUUUGCAAUACAGACGGUUUAAGAGCCAAGCUGCAUAGUUUUAUUCUCAUCCCGGACACCGGAGAAGCUCAAAUCACAGCACCUGUACUACAAAAAAUGGCUGAGCAGAAUGACAAAUCUUUUGGCAGGAACAUGUAAUAAAAAGGAAAAAUCUCCAGGUCAUCACCAUCAAGAAUUGUGUCUGCAUGUGAAGAUAUUGGUCACAGUGGUUCAAGCUUACAGAAUUCUUCAGUCUCAUCAGAAAAGCUGAGAAUUAAGUCUAUUCCCAGAAGCUGGUUUCUUGUGGUGACUUAGAUUUAAUAAUGAAUGUAUCUAGCACCAUUUGAAAUCAGUGUUUUAGGAGUAAGACCCACAUCUUUUAGAAGCACAGCAAAAAACCUGAUGGCAAGUAUACAAAAAAUAAUAUAUACCGUAUUUAUCGGUGUAUAUCACGCACAGGCGUAUAACACGCACCCUAACUUUAAGA